Molecule: long non-coding RNA, 25846 nt
Filed under: Lupinus angustifolius (narrow-leaved blue lupine)
Lineage: Eukaryota; Viridiplantae; Streptophyta; Magnoliopsida; Fabales; Fabaceae
Description: long non-coding RNA (LANG_LNC000684)
Source: RNAcentral
CUUGCUCUUGUAUGUGGAUGACAUACUGCUUGCCACUAAUGAUGUGGGUACCUUGUUAGAAACCAAGACAUUUCUAUCCAGUAAUUUUGAAAUGAAGGAUCUUGGUGAAGCUUCAUUUGUAUUAGGAAUCCAGAUACACCGAGACAGAUCUCGGGGUAUUCUUGGAUUAUCACAAAAGAGCUAUAUAGAAAAGGUGCUCAAAAGGUAUGGCAUGCAGGACUGUAAAGUAAUGGAUACUCCAGUUGCUAAGAGAGACAAAUUUAGUCUCAGUCAGUGCCCUAAAGGAAAUCUGUAAAUUCAGGAAAUAUAAAAGAUCCCUUAUGCAUCAGCUGUAGGGAGUCUUAUGUAUGCUCAAGUAUGUACGCGUCCAGAUAUAUAUGUACGCGUCCGGAUAUAGCGUUCAUAGUUGGGGUUUUAGGCAGAUAUAUGAGUAAUCCAGGAAUGGACCAUUGGAAAGCAGCCAAAGGGGUCAUGAGGUACUUAAAGAGAACAAAAGACUAUAUGCUCACAUAUAGGAGAUCAGACCAAUUAGAGAUCAUUGGGUAUUCUGACUCCGAUUUUGCGGGAUGCCAAGAUAGUAGACGAUCUACUUCAGGCUAUGUUUUUCUGUUAGCUGGUGGUGCGGUUUCUCGGCAUUCUGCCAAGCAAAACCUUGUAGCUUCAUCCACCAUGGCAGCAGAAUAUAUAGCAUGUUAUGAGGCAUCACUUCAGUCAUCAUGGUUGAGAAAUUUUGUCACUGGGCUGCGGAUUGUGGAAAGGAUUGAAAGACCACUAAAGUUAUACUGUGACAAUAAUUCAGCCGUUUUGUUCUCCAACAACAAUAUGAGUUCGGCAAAGUCGAAACAUAUCGACAUUAAGUUCCUAGUUUUUAAGGAGAAGGUACAGAGUGGACAGCUUUCCAUAGAACAUUUAGGCAGUAACUACAUGAUUGCGGAUCCUCUUACAAAGGCUAUCACACCCAAGGUCUUUCAUGAGCAUUUUGCUCACAUGGGUGUUCUACAGUGUGAGGAUAUUUUGGUUUAGUGGGAGUUAGAUUGUGCACAACUUUUAUCAUGUUCUAUGUAAUUUCAGUAUUUUGUAUGAAUACUUUGUAUUCAAACUUCAGUUGAUUAAUCAUUCAGUUUGGUAUUCUGUCAUUAUACUUUGUACAAUAAAGUUUUUAUGUUAUUGUUAAGGAUCUCACUAAAGUUAAGUAGGACCAGUUGAAAAUUGACAUGUACAGAUCAUAUUCAUGUAAUUUUCAUGCUACACAUUUCAUGAUGUAUCUAUGUCAUUUAGUUGUGUCAAUGUUGGUGAUCAUUGUUGAAUUAGCCAUGAUUGAUAUGGCGAAGUCGUGAUUUGAUAUGGAGACAGGACUGAUGGACGAGAUAAUUUGGGUAUGCCUAAGUCAUAAUGGCAAUAUUUAAGAGCGCAUUAAGGAUAACACGUACAGAGAAUCAUAUGUGUGACUAGUGGGAGAUUGUUAGAAUUUCUGACAAUUUAUGGGUCACAAAUAUAAUUCUAUAAUUGUGUUAUGGCCAUUAUGUAAUUAGCCAAAAUAUAAAAUGAUCUUAAGUAAUUAAUUUGGUGGCUAAGGGAAUAUGUGUCAUGAAAUAAUUUUAAGUGCAUAUACCUUCAGACAAUUUCUGAUUUGAUGAAGGGACUGAAUCAGAAUUAUUGCAACUAAAGUAGUAACCACUACGGGGUUACGUUUAUGGGUUAUGGUCCUCAUUUGUAGAGCAAUAGGUUUUCAAGUGUAAAGGUGGAGGAGAAUAAGGUAGGAUGAGAAUAGUGUUAUCCAGAAUAGGAUAACACUAUCCACUCAUCCAUAAGGGCUUAUAAGGCAUAAGGAUAAGCCUCCUCCAACUAACCUCAAAGCAACACUUUUCAGAAACUAAGGUAUUCUCUCAUUCCCCUCUAGAGAGAACUAAAGGAAAACCAUUCGGCGCUCUAUCAUCUGGAAGAUCAUCUCACCCUCAUACCUUCGAGAUUCCGGAAAUGGCUCAACAAGGUAUGUUCUUCAUCUUCACCAUGAACUCAUUUGGGGUUUCUCCGGUCUGGACCAUGGAUGUUCCAUUCUGGUGUAUGUAUGGGCAUACAUAUUAGGUUGUGGGAACAAAAUCAUGGUCAUAAGGACUUUCGCAUUCACUCUAUGGAUUUCGGAUGGAGAAGGAAUUUCUCCAACAAAUAUGACACUGAGGAUCAUAGCCUUGAUGGUUUUGGAGGAUGUUUUUUUCAAGAAUUUUGGGAUAUUGUUGGUCUGUAUGUUUGUAAAUCAGUUUCUCAGUUUUUCACUCAGGGUUGGUUACUCCCUAGUCUUAAUUCCAACUUUGUGUUUCUAAUUCCUAAAUUCCCUAGGGCAAAAAAAAUUGAGGACUUUAGGCACAUUUCUUUAGCAAACUUUCAAUUUAAAGUUAUAACCAAAGUCUUGACUGAUAGGCUUGCCAUCAUUACUCCUAGGAUUACCUCCAACCAUCAAAGAGGCUUCAUCAAAGAUAGGCACUACAUGGCUGCAUUUGUAUAGUUUCUGAAGCUAUUAAUCUCGUUGAUCACAAGACAUUUGGUGGUAAUUUGGCUAUCAAGUUGGAUGUUAAAAAAUCCUUUGACACAAUUGGUUGAGUCUUCUUGAGGACACCCUUAAAGCUUUUGGUUUUGAUAACAUAUUCAUCAAUUGGAUAAGUAUAAUCCUUUAAUAUGCUAAGUUAUCAAUAUUUGUGAAUGAGUAGAAUGUUGGUUUCAUUAAGGUGAUCCCCUGUCUCCCCUUCUCUUAUGCUUGGCUGAAGAUGUUCUAAGUAGAGGCUAACAAUGUUGCUUAAAGAUGAAAAAUCAGCACCAUUUCUGGUUCUAGAAAAGUUCAAUCACCUAGCCAUGUCCUCUAUAUUGAUGAUAUUUUGAUUUUCUACUCAAGCAUCAAAAGAAAACUUCUGGAUUUAAAGGAUUUGAUCUUAAUUUAUGCUCAAGCUUCUGGGCAAAAUCUCAAUCUUAGCAAGUAUAAAUUGUUUUCCACUCAUGACUCUACAAGCAAAACUAUUAAUUGAUCUUCCAACUUGGGUUUUAAUGCUGGUCAUUUGCCUUUCACUUACUCGGGGGUUUCUAUACUCAAAGGCAAGGCUAGACCUAUUCAUCUACAAACUAUAGAUGACAAGAUUGUCAACAAGAUAUCUAUGUGGAAAGGCUAUUCACCUUCAAUUAUGGCAGAGUUGAGCUUGCCAAGUCUAUAAUUCACAGUAUGCUAAUUUAUAGCGUUCAUAUUUAUUCUUGGCAUGUUAAAUUGAUAAAGGUUGUGGACAAUAGCAUCAAAAAUUUCAUAUGGUCUGGUGACACUAAGGUGAAAAAGUUGGUGACUGUUGCUUGGCAUCAAGUGUACAAUCCAGUGAAGGAGGGAUGUUUGGGUUUGAGAUCGAUCUCAACUCUGAAUUAGGCUACUAUUCUUAAACUGGCUUGGGAGAUGCAAUCUUCUAGACAUGAAUGGGUCAGCUUCUAUAGGCACAUAUUUUAUAGAGCUAGCAGACCUACUACUAGUUAUAUUAAAUCCUUUAUUUGGUGCGAAAUUAAAAAAAAAUUGGCACAUUGUUUCUAUAAUUCCAUCUGGCUAGUGGGAAAUGGAAGACAUAUUAGCUAUUGGUUGGAUAAUUGGCUUGGCUCUUCCCUGGCUGAUUCCUUAAGCAUCAUUGCUCAUAUUCACUUUUCCCUAUCAACCAUUGUUGUUGAUUUCAUUCAUGAAUCAAAGUGGAUAAUUCCAACUUGGAUGGUUGUGCUGCACCCUGAAAUCUCUAAUUCAAUUGUCAAAAUUCCUAUUUCUUUGGAAAGACAUAAUGAUUAGCUUGCUUGGAAGCACACAAAUGAUGGAGUUCUAACUAUGAAAGUUGCUUACAAUUUCAUUAAACCUUGUAUGAAUCAAUUAAAUUGGUGUAAGUUAUUUUGGUCUAUUUCUAUCCCUUCUACAAUGUAUUUCAUCCCAUGGAGACUUUACAAGAAUAAAAUGUCAAUAGAUGACAACUUGCAAAAAAGGUCUUUCUUUGGCUUAUAUUUGCAAAUUGUGUCUAGCAGAUGCUGAAUCUUAUAAUCACAUAUUUUUCAAUUGUCCAUUUGCAAUUUCUCUAUGGAAUUGGUUAAGAAACUUGAUUGGUUCCCCCUGGUCAGAUCCUCUAUUGUCAAUAUCUUGCUUGUAGUAGAAAGUGGAGUCCUCAGCUAAAGGAAGUGGCAGCUCCUAUUAUUUUAAAUAUUGACUCAACAAUUUGGCUAUGCAAGAAUAAUAUCAUAUUUGAGAAUAUGAGAAUAUCCCUCUAUCAAGUCAUUGCUAAAAUUAUUUUGGACACUACUCUAACUAGAAAUUUAUCUAAGUUGUGUUCUAGGCCUUCUCUAACUGAGUUCUCCAUUCUUAGAGUAUUCAAUGUUUCUAGAAAAUCCAGUAAUGCUCCUGUAAUUUCUAUAGUUAUUUGGCAUCCUCCUCUAAUUGGUUGGACAAAAAAUAAUGUAGAUGGUGAAGCUCAUGGUUCUCCUGGGCAUGCUGGGGGAGGGCAUUUUUAGAGACAAUUUUGGUAUAUUCUUGGGAUGUUUUACAACUUCUAUUGAUAUUCAGGAUUUUAUUUAAGUAGAAGUGCUUUCUUCUAUUUUAAUUUUGAAGCUAGCUCACUCAAAGGGUUGGAAUGCUAUUUAGUUUGAGUGUGAUUCAAGCAUGGUGGUGGACAUAUUCAAUGGAAAACGUUUUGUUCCUUGGAAGUUAAGGUAUUCAUGUAAUCAAUGUUGUGUUUUAAUCAACUCAAUGGAGUUUAAAAUUUCUCAUACUUUCAUAAAGGGGAAUACUUGUGCUGACAAACUACCUUUAGGGUGAUAUCGAGAUUGAUUAUUGGUGGGACUCUAUCCCUGUUUUUCUGUUGGCUGAGUACAAUAGGAAUAUCCUCAAAUUGCCUAACUACAGAUUUAAACACUUGUAAUCUUGCCUUGGCUCUCUAGUAAUUUGCUUCUCCUUUUCUAAUAAAAUUGUGGGUGUGUUGCCACCCUUGCCUUAAAAAAAAUCAUAGCUAAAAUCUAACAUCGAAGGAUAUAAUCUUUGCACACCCCAGGGAGGAGGAAGAACAUCAAAUUGGUGAGGCUCUCUUAAACCCGACCAAACAAAAUAAUAAAUCAUAUUUUCACAAUCAUGUGUCAUGACUUAACACUAAGCCAUUUAUACAAAAAAUGAAAUGUAACAAUAAGCAGUUGUGCCUAAUUUCAAGUCUUUGUUCACUAUAACUUCUAAAGUUUCAAUAUAUAGCUUCAUAUAAAACUAUAUUCAUUAAAGAAAAGUGAUAUCGUUCUGAAUAAUAAGGAUAGUAAAUUUGAUAGCAUGAUAAUAGAAUUCAUCAAGAAACAAAGUAAUAUUCAAUUAUAAGCAUGCUUUCAAAUACACUUUCACAAACGCUUCCUUCUUAGAUCUAAGCCACCCAGUUUGACUUCUGACACGUCUCUUUUGGAUACUCCACACGUACUUAUUGUCUAUUCCCAGCUGAAUCUUGCCCUCAACUAAGACCUUUAUGAAAUGGUGAAGAAUGUACAACCUAACCUGGGUUGGGACAAUUUUUUUUUCUAAACUCCUCAAAUUUGUUGUGUCAACACCGUUUCAAGUUAGAAGCACCUAAAAUGUGCAUAUAUGAACAUGUAACACUCAAUCUCAAACCUAAUCAGAAAAUCUCACAAGACCUAAUAGAAAAUGUGGAUUUAUGCAAGGCUUGUAUGAAAAAGAAUUUUACAAUUGAAUGCUCAAAAAUUACUUCCAAAGAAGCUUUUUUUCUUCUAAUCCCUCUUAUGCGCAAGAAACACUUAAACUUUUGCAGAACACUAUUUUUUAGAUAAACUCUUGAAUUUUUUUGAAUCUCUCCCAUAUUACACAUGGGUAAAAUUACAGCUUUUAUAGUAAUCUGAUCUUAAUCGAUCGUCAAUAAACUUAAUCAAUCAAUUGUUUGUUAAAAAUAACAUAUUUUCUUUAGUAAGCCUAUUUAAUCGAUUAAACUUUUGGUAUAAUUGAUUAACGAGGCUAAGAGCUUCAAACCAAUAGCUGUUGUAAUUCAAUUAAUUGAUCCAUAAAAAUACUUAAUCGAUUAACGUGUUCUAAAGACCACUUUAAUCAAUUAAUCAGUUUUAACCAAAAGUUUAGAUUCCAAUUAUGCAAGGUAAAACCUUAUAAAUGAUGUAUGCUCAUGUAAUGAAUGAUUUCAAAAAGAUAUUUAGUUUUAAUGCACUGAAAUCAUGUAUGCUCAAGUGAAGUGCAUGCAUACUGUCUAUUAAGGAUGGAUGAUUCUGAUUUUUAAGUUUUAUUUAUCUUUUAAGCUUUGUGAGAUUCUCAUACUAGGUCUACCUAACCUAGACUCGAACAAGGCAAUCAUCUUAGGACAUCUAAAAAUAAAAAGACUUUCCUAAUUCUAGAUAACCUUGAGUCUUCGGCUUGUUGUUUGAUAAGUUGCGUCAAUCUUCAAGCUUUACUAAAUUUGUUGUCUUCAUCAGAAAUUUGUUGUAGAAUGCACUUGUAGACUUUGACUCCUCUUGUAAUAUCAAUGUCCCCCUUUUUAUGAUGACAAACGUUUUCUUGCUUUAUGCUUUGAAGCUGGAUUUUGAUCAACGUUUUUUGCUUAGGUUAUGAAUAAAUAGUGUCAAUAUAGCACAACUGCCCCUCACUCAUGAUUGAAGAUAGGAUAUGAUUAUUACGUAAGCAUGAAUAACAACCUUCAAAAGUUCAAACAACAAUUUCUCCUCCUUUUGGCAUGAUAAAACAAAAAUAUAAAAAAUAAAACCAAAAGAAAGGAAAAAUUCUGAUUUAUGCUGAAUUUAAUCGAUUAAAGGAGUAAUUAAUGGAUUAAAAACAAUUUACAAACUUGAUCAAGUCCACAACAUUUGUAUUUAUUCGAUUAACAUAUACACUUAAUCGAUUAAUCCUACUUAAAUUAACUGUUAUAGUUGAUAGUGAGCAUGUUUUAACAAAUCAUUCGAUUUGAACAAUUGAAAUAUCAAUAAAUAUAAUGCAAAGAUAAUGCAAACACUAAGUUCAACAUAAUAAUUCAUGCAAAAGUUCAACCAUAAACAUAACCAAGUCAUAAUGUGAACCAACAACAAACCAUAACCAAAACAAACAUAAUCACACAUACACACAUGCACACUAAAGCUUAUUCUAACAUAAGCAUUUCUAAGCUAAACAACUCUUGAGGUGGAUGUGGGGAUGGUGGAGUGUCCAUCUUCUUCAUUAGAUUGGCCCAUUCAGAGUAUAGUAAUUCAUUUGCAAUUGGGUCUUCUUCCUCAUCCUCAUCAAUUAAAUUCAUAUUAACAUCAAUGUCAUAGAGUUCUUGGAGCUUUGCUUGAGAUUUAGUCACAUCAGCAACCUUAGCAUGUGUCAUUUGUUGUUGCUUUUGCAUAACCUCCAAAGUUUCCAAGAUUGGAUCGACGUGACUGUUCAUGGAUUUAAAACCAGAGUCCAUAUGAUCCUUUAUUCACUUUUCCACACCAGCAAGCAUUGUAGAUAUGAGGGAGGAAGAGAGAUUUAUUCUGUGAGAUGACCUUUUGGUGUAGAUGAACAACCCAUUUCACUCAUAGUAUUUGUGUUUCUGGAUUUUGGAAGGAUGAAUUUUGGAAGAGUUUUGGAAGGGGAAUCAUAGUUUUGGGGUUUAGGGUUUCAAAGUUUGAAAACACUGAAACUGAACUAAAAUCUGUUUUUAUUGAUGUCGUUAAUCAAUUAAUUUGUAACAAACAUUUAUUUGAAAAAAAAAUUGGAGCUUACAUUAAUUGAUUAUAGUAUCUCUUAAUCGAUUAAUUUAAAGCAAUUUUAAAUUUCGGAAGCCCCUGAAACUCUUUUAAUUGAUAGAAAUUAUAUGUUAAUCAAUUAACAUUGGUUGACUAGCAACCAUGACAGAUUUUGGUUUAAGUGAGGGAUGCUUAGGUAUACUUACCAUACAUAAUUUCAUUAGAACCUCUUAUUUAACUAUAAUCAUGCAGCACACAAAUCAUGAAAGUUAAUUAAGCAUGUUAAACAUACAUUUAAAAUUAUUUUUCGUAUAAGCAUAUAGGAGAUACAUGUUAAGGCAUAUAUGAACCUAAAACAAGCUAGGUUAGAUAUGAUUCAUCAAGGAUUUAAAGUUAUCUUCUUAGAACAAAGAAUAUGUCUCGGGGAAGGGGCUUGGUGAAUAUAUUGGUCAACUGUUUUGAGAUCUCUACAAAUUCAAUUAUGCAAUCACCUUUUUGCACAUGAUCCCUUAGAAAAUGAUGACACAUUUCUUUAUGCUUAGUACGUGAAUGCAGAAUGGAGUUCUUUGAUAAGUUUAUGGCACUCGUGUUAUCACACUUGAUCAGUAUAUGAUCAAGAUUUAGACAGAAGUCUUGCAAUUACUGCUUCAUCCUAAGGAUUUGAGCGCAACACACGCCAUCGACAAUAUAUUUUGUUUUAGAAGUUGACAAAGCAACACAUGCUUGCUUCUUGUUGUGCCAAGAAACAAGGGAGCUACCUAACAGGUGGCAAGUCCCACAUACUCUUGCAAUCCAACUUGGACCCAGCGAAGUUAGAAUCAGAGUAUCCUACCAAAGAUAAUGAGGCAUCCCUAGGAUACCAAAGUCCCAUUUGUAAUGUUCCUUUUAAGUAUUUCAUGAUUCAUUUUACAACAAUAAGAUGAGAUUCUUUAGGAUUAAAUUGAUAUCUAGCAUAUAAACAUACACUAAACAAUAUAUUAGGACAACUAGAUGUAAGAUAAAGUAAAGAGCCAAUUAUGUCCCGAUAUUUUGUUACCUCAACCAAUUUACUCUUAUCAUCUUUAUCAAGAUAGCUUGAUGACACCAUUGGAGUAGAGGCUUCUAUUGCUUUGUCCAUGACAUAUUUCCUUAAUAACUCCUUGCAAUAUUUUGACUGAAGCACAAAGAUUCCUCUACUCAACUAUUUUAUUUGUAAUCCUUGGAAGAACAUCAAUUCACCCAUCAUCGACAUUUCGAACUCUCCCUUCAUCAAAUUUGAGAAAUCCUCACAAAUAAUAUUGUUAGUGAGAGUGCAAAGUGUCAAGGAUUGCACUAGCAAUGUUUUGCCUAUGUUCCGAUGAAGACAAUGAAUUAAUUAAAGCUUGAAGAUGACUCAACAAUCAACAUGCUCAGAGCUCAAGUGGUGACUUAUUAGACUUAGGCUAUAAUUCUUUAUUAUCUGUUUAGAAGUCUAAGAUGCUUGUCAUAGAUAUUGAGUCUAGGUUAGGUAAACAAAGGUGUGAGUCUCACAAGACUUAAUAAAGUAAUUAAUCCACUAAAAUGAGAUAUCAUCUAGUUUAUUAUCUGUUCAUGCAUAUCAUACAUGUUAUAUGUGUAUAUUAGACAUAAUAUAAUUGCUAAAACAUGCAUAGGAGUUAAGCAUAGCAUAUGAGUAGUUUGCCUUUUGAAUCAUGUGUUUUAACAUGUUGGUUAAUCGAUUAACAUGGUAAUUAAUCGAUUAACUCAACUGUUUUCUGUUUUAAAUCAUGUUACACUAGUUAAUCGAUUAACCCCAUGGCUUAAUCGAUUAACGUAUCUAUUUUCUGUUGUUUCAACUGCAUAACUGAAAAAACCAUUUUUAGAGGCAAAAUUUGUUUUGUAUAAAUUCUGGCAAAUUGCAGAAAUGGCUAAGAGUGAAAAACACAGAGAAAAGAGAACUGAUCAUCAUUGUUAGAAACUAUUAGAGAGUAUUACAUUAGGAGAAAGACUAGAUCAUGCUAAGGCUUUAGUUUUCACAUUCAUAUUGCAUGUUUCUUUGAGAAACUUUCUUGCAUCAUUCUUGUGUUUCUUGGAAAGAAAAGAGAUAGUUAUUUAUGAUUGCAUAAUUUCAUCAUCCUCAUGCAUGUAAAUUCAUAUUAGACUUGGAAGUCUUGUGAAUUCUUGCUUAGGUUUUAGGCUUUGAUCUUUAUUGUAAUGUCUGAGUAUUAAGUACUCAUUAAUAACUCAAAGCAUUGUUAUUCAAGGAUUGAGAAAAUCCCAGUUGCGGUUAGGUAAGGUGUUCUUCACACAAAGAUUUGGAGGUCUUGGGAUAAAGAGCAAUACCUUGGAUGGGGCUGAAUCGCGGUAAGAAAGGUUUUCUUGGAGGUGGUUUUGGGAAAGGUCAAACAAAAAAGGGUGACAAAGUUCUUUGGGUUCCAAGAAAAGAGGAUUCGAGGCUUGUAUUUGGAAGCGUGUAUGUAACGUACAUUGUGUUCUAUAGUGAAGAAGGAAAAUAUCCUAGAUUAGAGGAGAUGACUGGAUAUAGUUUUGCAGUGGACAUCAAAACGAACCAGGAUAAAAUCUCUGCACAAUCAUUUCUAUCAUUUUCUCUUUUAUAUUUCAAGAUGUUUUAAUGCGAGCUUGGAGCUAAUAUUUUGCAUGCUUGUUCUUUGCUAUGUUCUUGUUAAUCUUGCAUAAAAGCAUAUGUUGUAUAUAUGUUUGUGUGUUGGUUAAUAACUGUGCAAGUUGUUGUUCUGAUCAUUCUGGUUAUGUUUAGAUUUAAUCGAUUAAGCCCACUAGUUAAUCGAUUAACUGGGCAUUUUUCAGCAAGUGUGUAAAAACCAGAAAAGUGGAACUUGAGCUCCGCCGCACCUAUUCAACCCCCUUCUAGGUGUAUUCUGCCAGUGAUACCUAACAAGUGGUAUCAAAGCUAGUACGUCGUGCUACCUCAACCGCAUUCGCAUGAUCUGAAAGGGACUACAUAUGGGAUCUAACAACCCCUUUGACGGUGAUGGCGCAUCCAUUAACCGCCCUCCCGUAUUUAGUGGCUAGGGCUAUGCCUAUUGGAAGUUUCGCAUGAGAAUUUAUAUCGAGGGGAUAGACACAGACAUUUGGGAUUCCGUUGUCAAUGGUCCAUACAUUCCUCUUCAUAUGGUGGAUGGCGAGUCUAAAGAAAAGCCUAAAGGCUCAUGGACGGAUAUUGAGAAAAUAAAGGUCCAACAUGACCUUAAGGCCAAUAACAUUAUUACUUCGGCCUUAUGUUAUGACGAAUUCUUUAGAGUCUCGCAAUGCCUUAAUGCAAAAGAAAUGUGGGAUACUUUAAAAGUUACACACGAAGGCACAAGUGAAGUUAAGUGCGCUAGACUAAAUGCGUUUACACAUGAGUAUGCGUUAUUUCACAUGCUUCUUAAUGAAUCUAUAUUUAAUAUGCAAGAACGUUUUACUCAUGUUGUAAAUCAUUUGGUCGCCCUUGAUAAAACUUUUACUAAUGCUGAUUUGUCUAACAAUGUUGUGCGCUGUCUUGAUAGGAAAUGACAACUAAAGGUAAUCGCAAUAAUGGAGUCAAAGAACUUAGACAACAUGCCAUUAGCUACUCUGUUUGGGAAUCUCCAAGAACAUGAAAUGGAGUUAGGGCGCUUGACAAUGAAUGAAGAGUCAGACAAAAACGGAAUCACACUCAAGGCUACAAGAUUUCAAGAAGAUCAAGCAAGUGAGGAUUCUAGAUCAGAUUCUGAUUCCGAUGAAGAAUUGACUCUCCUAUUUGAAAAAUUCAAGAAGUAUCUCAAGAAGAAAGGAGGGAUCAAGAAUCUAAAGAAAGAAGCCAAAAAUUCAACCAAGAAAAGCAAGAUUCCCAAAGAAGGCUUCACUUGCUAUGAGUGUGGAAAAUCGGGCCACAUGAAGCAUCAGUGCUCGAGCCACCUCAAGAAAGUCAAUAACAAGAAGAGAAACUCUCGAAUGUCCAAGUCAAAAGAAGCAUAUAUUAUUUGGAACGAUUCCAAGAAAGAUUCGACUUCAAGCUCAUCCGAUGAGGAUAAAAAUUCAAAGGUAUGCCUUAUGGCACGAGUGCAUGAGAAGUGCACAUCUAGUGAUGAAGAUGAUUCUAUUGAGGUACUCUCCUCCAUAUGAUGAAUUAUUUGCAGCUUAUGUCAAAAUGCAUAAGGAGUUAAAGAAAGUUGUUAAAAUAAAAAUAGAUAGAAAAUGAGUUAUCUCCUUUCAUGAAAAGAAAAUAAUUGAAAUGCAAAAGGAAUUAGAUGAACUUAAACUUGCAAAUGAAACACUUGAUAUUAUCUAUGCAUGUGCCUCAUGUGAUUGCUCUACUUCUAAAUUACGUCAACCCACUUUAUGUGAUACUUGUGAGAGUUUAAAUGCUGAAAAUUCUAUUUUGAAAAAAAAAACUUUCAAAGCUCACAUAUAGUCAAGACAACCUUAACACAUUGCUUGCUAAUACAAGAAAUGUUGGUAACCAGUCUGGAAUUGGAUAUAAACUUCAGCCUAAGAAAAGACCAUGUAGAAAUCCAGUAGUUCAUAUGCAUAAGAAGUCAAAUAAUAACAUGCCUACUUGUUUCUAUUGUGCUACACAUGGUCACACAUUCACUACAUGCUUUAUUAGAAAAUUUGGUGUGCCAAGUGGCAAAUAUGUUUGGGUAAAGAAGGGGCAAGAUCCCUUAGUUACUAACAAGAAGGAACCCAAAAUAACUUGGGUACCUGAAAGAGACAAGUAAAUUGUGUUUGUAGGUGUGCCAAAGAACAUUUGAGCAUUAAGGGAUAAAUCAACAAAAGAAAUUCUAGGCACAAGGUUGGUGAGUAGAUCAAGGCUAUUAAGAAUAAAAGUUAUUGAGAAAGAUUGUUGAAUGAGCUUCCGUAUUAUGCUACAUACCAAGAGUACUUCUCUAAGUAAUAAAGGGGGAGAAGAUAAAUGGAAGAACAAUGAAAGGGGGAGAAGAUAAAGGGAAGAACAAUGAAAGGGGGAGCAGCGCGCUUUGAAUGUCAAAUAUAAAACUUUGAUCAUAACAUCAAAUUUUUCAUCAAACAAGUGGUAAUCUUGACCUAUCACCAAAGGGUAAGUAAGGUAAUUAUAUUAACAAGGUUACAAAAUUAUUUCUGAGUAAGCUCAAAAUUGUUCUUAAAACUGUCAACUUUUUGUCAUUAAUCGAUUAACCCUCAGUAUAAUCGAUUAAAUGACUUCCAGUAGCUAAAGCUUUCUGAAAUAAAUCAUUUUAAUCAAUUAAAUUUUGUGAUAAUCAAUUACCUGGACUCAAUUUUUUUUUGACAUUUAAUUCUUGUUGUUUUGUGGCUUACGUCCAUAUUUUUCAGUCAAAUACAUUUUAUGGUUAUGGUUGUACCUUCUUUUAGUAUUUUGUAACUAUGUUGAACCUUGCUAAUUAUGUUAAAUAGAAUUUUUUUUUGCGUAAAUGUUGAACAUGUGUUAGUUGUGUAUUAUAAUUGAAUGAUUGAAAUAUGCUUUAAAAUGAAAAUUUCCUAACAAGUGCUAAUAAAUGGUGAUAAUGACAUCUAAUAAGUGGCAUCUAAAAAGUACUAACAAAUGGCAUACAUAUAAGUUUAAUCAUUCCAUGUCUAAAUUGUUUACAUAAUGGAUAUGUCAUGCAAAAUUUGUCUAUAUUCAGUUUUAGAGUCAGAAAUCAAUGUGUUUGUUUAAGCUUCUCAAACUAGUUAUUGCCUAUGAUAAUAAUUACAAAUUUUCAAAAUAAAUUGAUAUAUCUCUUCUUACUUUGGACUAGAAUUGAAUAUUCAUAUCUUUUUGAUAAUGUCAAAAGGGAGAGAAAGGUUGCUUGUUGUGUUUGACGUUAUUUGUAGGUUGUCAUAAUAGCGUCCGCAUUAUUAAUCAUUGCUUACCUAAGGGGGAGAGCAAAGCGCUUUCAACUUUGAAUUCACAACCAUUAUGCAAAUGUACAACAUCAUCAAGCUAAUUCAUCAAAUGUAAUGUAUUAUUUGAUGUGGUGUUUGUCAUCAUCAAAAAGGGGAGAGAUUGAGAGUGCAAAGUGUCAAGGAUUGCACUAGCAAUGUUUUGCCUAUGUUUUGAUGAAGACAAGGAAUUAAUUAAAGCUUGAAGAUGGCUCAACAAUCAACAUGCCAAGGGCUCAAGUGGUGACUUAUUAGACUUAGGUUAUAAUUCUUUAUUAUCUUUUUAGAAGUCUAAGAUGUUUGCCAUAGAUAUUGAGUCUAGGUUAGGUAAACCUAGGUGUGAGUCUCACAAGACUUAAUAAAGUAAUUAAUCCACUAAAAUGAGAUACUAAAAUGAUAUAUCGUCUAGUUUAUUAUAUGUUCAUGCAUAUCAUACAUGUUAUAUGUGCAUAUUAGGCAUAAUAUAAUUGUUAAAACAUGUAUAUGAGUUAAGCAUAGCAUAUGAGUAGUUUGCCAUUUAAAUCAUGUGUUAUAACAUGUUGGUUAAUCGAUUAACGUGGUGACUUAAUCGAUUAACUCAACUAUUUUUUGUUUUAAAUCAUGUUACACUGGUUAAUCAAUUAACCCCAUGGCUUAAUCGAUUAACGUCUCUAUUUUCUGUUGUUUCAACUGCACAACUGAAAAUACCGUUUUUAGAGGCAAAAUAUGUUUUGUAUAAAUUCUGGAAAAUUGCAGAAAUGGCUAAGAGUGAAAAACAUAGAGAAAAGAAAAUUAAUAAUUAUUAUUAGAAACUAUUAGAGAGUGUUGCAUUAGGAGAAUGACUACAUCAUGCUAAGGCUUUAGUUUUCACAUUCAUAUUGCAUGUUUCUUUGAAAAGCUUUCUUGAAUCAUUCUCAUGUUUCUUGGAAAGAAAAGAGAUAGUUCUUUAUGAUUUCAUAAACCUCAUGCAUGUACAUUCAUAUUAGACUAGGAAUUCUUGUGAGUUCUUGCUUAGGUUUUAGGCUUUGAUCUUUAUUGUAAUAUCCGAGUAUUAAGUACUCAUUAAUAACUCAAAACAUUGUUAUUCAAGGAUUGGAAAAAUCCUAGGUGCGGUUAGGUAAGGUGUUAUUCACACAAAGACUUGGAUGUCUUGGGAUAAAGAGCGAUACCACGGCUGGGGCUGAAUCGGUGUAAGAAAGGUUUUCUUGGAGGCGGUUUUGGGAAAGGUCAAACCAAGGGUGACGAAGUUCUUUGGGUUCCAAGAAAGGAGCGUUUGAGUCUUGUAUUUGGAAGCAUGUAUGUAACAUACAUUGUGUUCUAUAGUGAAGAAGGAAAAUCUCCCAGAUCAGAGGGGAGGAAUGGAUGUAGUUUUGCAGUGGACAGAAAACCGAACCAGGAUAAAAUCCAUGCACAAUCUUUUCUAUCAUUUUCUCUUUUAUAUUUCAAGAUGUUUUAAUGCGAGUUUGGAGCUGAUAUUUUGAAUGCUAAUUCCUUGCUAUGUUCUUGUUAAUCUUGUAUAAAAGUAUAUGUUGUAUAUUUGUUUGUGUGUUGGUUAAUAAUUGUGCACGUUGUUGUUCUGAUCAUUUUGGUUAUGUUUAGAUUUAAUCGAUUAAGCCUACUAGUUAAUCGAUUAACUGAGCAUUUUUCAGUAAGUGUGUAAAAACCAGAAAAGUGGAACUUGAGUUUCGUCACACCUAUUCAAACAAGUUAGUGGCACCAAAUAUAAUAUCAUCAACAUAAAUUUUAGCUAACAAUAUAUCAUUAUUAGAUUUCUCUAUAAAGAGAGUUGUGUCCACCUUACCCCUUACAAAUCAUUUUUUUCUAAAAGAAAAGUACUUAAAUGCUCAUACCAAGCCCUCAGUGCUUGUUUCAAUCCGUAGAGAUCCUUUGUAAGUUUAAAUGCAUGAUUAGGAUAUUUGAAAUUUUCAAAUCCUGGGGGUUGGUUAACAUAAAUUUCUUCUUGAAUGAAACCAUUCAAGAAUGCACUCUUAACAUCCAUUUGAAAAAGUUUAAAGUUCAUUAUUGAAGCAUAGGCAAGUAACAUCCUAAUGGCUUUCAACCUUGCAGCCUGGGCAUAUGUUUUGUCAUAAUCAAUGCCUUCCUCUUGAUUAUGUGCUUGAGCAACUAGUCGUGCUUUGUUUUGAAUAAUCAAGACUGAUUCAUCGAGUUUGUUGUGAAAGACCCACUUAGUGUCAAUAAUCGGGUGAUCUUUUGGCUUGGGGACCAAGUACCACACAUUAUUUUACUCGAACUAGUUUAGCUCUUCUUGCAUAGUUAUACCCCAAUGUUCGUCUUCAAGGGCCUCAUUAAAAAAUUUAGGUUCAAUUUGAGAAACAAAAGCAACAAAAUAUAGUAAUUACGAAGAGAGUUUCGGGUUACCACUCCCAUUGAGAUAUCACCUAUGACCUUAUCGAUAAGAUGAUCCUUUUUCAUUUUCAAGACUUUUGGCAUGUUUUCAUCUUCUUGAUUUUCAUUAUUUUCAAUUUGUGCUUCCUUUUCUACUUCGGAUUUCGUUGUGUAUGCAUCCUCCAAUGCACUUGAAACAUCAUCAAAUACAACCUUCAUAUUCUCUCUUAGAGAAGAUUCAUCAAAAUGUGCAUGUAUAGAUUCUUAUACAUUCAUGUUAUGCUUAUUAUAGACUCAAUAGGCUUUAUUAUAUACUGAAUAACCUAAGAAUAUCCCUUAAUCGGAUUUUGAAUCAAACUUACCCAAAUUAUCUUUUCCGUUAUUUAAUAUAAAACAUUUGCACCCAAAAGCGUGAAGAUGAGAUAUAUUUGGUUUGCAGCCUUUUAAAAGUUCAUAAGGUGUUUUUGAAAACAUAGGCGUAAUCAGAAUUCGGUUAAUCAUAUAGCAUGUGGUGUGAACCGCGUCAAGCCCAGAAAUAUGUUGGAACUUUGUUUUUGUUUAGCAUUGUCCUGGAUAAUUCCUCCAAUACUCUAUUUUUCCUCUCAACAACUCCAUUUUGUUGAGGAGUGCGAGGAGUCGAGAAUUGGUGAAGUAUACCAUUUUUCUCGCAAAACUUUUCGAACAAAUGAUUUUUAAAUUCACCGUUGUGGUCACUACAGAUAAAUAUUAUUUUAUAGUUAAACUGCUUUUGUAUUUGUUUGGUAAUAUUUUUAAAUGAUUUGAAAGUUUCACUUUUUAAAGUUAGAAAUAGUGUGCAAGUGAAUCUAGAAAAAUCAACAACAAUAACUAGUGCAUAGUAGCUACUUCCACAACUCAUUACUUGAGAUGGUCCAAACAAGUCCAUAUUGAGAAGCUCCAAUGGCCUUGUUAUGGAUAUCAUGGUUUUUGAUGAAAAUGAGUUUUUAACCUGCUUACAUCUUUGAUAGGUAUCACAAAUAUCGACGGUUUUAAAAUUUAGCUCAGGUAGCCCUACCACAAGUUCCUUAGUUGAUACUUUUUCUAAAUGUUUCAAAUGAAUAUGACCCACUCUUUUAUGCCAAACCCAUAUAUCAUUCUCCUUCAAAAUAAAAGAUUUUGAAAAUAGAGAAGUGAUAUUAUCCAUAUUAAUCAUGUAAAUAUUAUGUAUCAUAUGACAAAUAAAUUUUACCUUAUUAUCUAAUCCAUCACGUAUGACACAACAAUCAAAAUCAAAAGAAACUUUGUUACCUCUAUCACAAAGUUGACUAAUACUAAGCAAAUUGUGUUCAAGUCCUUAGACAUAAAGAACAUUGUCGAUGAUAGUUCGAGAAACAACUCCAAUUUUUCUAACUCCGAGUGUUUUCUCUCAAUUGUAGUCUCCAUACGUAACAUAGUCGUUUUCAUUCAAUAAUAUAUCAAGGAAUUUGGAUCUAUCUCAUGUCAUAUGUCUCGAACAUCCAUUAUCUAGAUACCAAAGUUGUCCAUGUGAUCGAAGACAUACCUGCAAAAUAAAUUUACUUGGCACUUUCAGAUACCCAAUUUAUGUUAGGUCCCUUAUGGCUAGUAACCAUGGGAACUAGUACCGUUUUAAUCCAAACAUACUUUCCAUUUGGUACUCCAUACUUUUGAAUAUAACAUGAAAGGGAAGUAUGUCCAUGAAUGCCACAAUAAAAACAUGUAGAUGAUUUAUGAUUAUAUACUUUUCGAUUAUGAGUCACAUGUUUUCUAGAUGGUUUUCUUUGCUUGGUAUUAUUAUAUCCUAUUCCAACAUGAUUACCAAUAUUUUUAGUAUUAGCAAGUAAAUUGUCAAGAUUUUGACGACUAUGUGUGAACUUUGCAAUCUUAUCUUUCAAAACAGAAUUUUCAAAUUUUAACACAUUGCAAUUUUCACAUUUAGAAGUCUCACAUAAUUUAGAAGAACAAUCACAAGAGACACGUGCAUAGAUAUCAAGGGUGUUAUUCUCAAGUUUAAUUUCAUCAAUCAUUGCUUGCAUUUUUACUAUUUUCUCAUCAUGCAACAAUAUAAUCCUUUUACGAUCAACACUAAUUCUUGCAAGUUUUUUAAGUUCCUCGUGUAAUUCUACAAAAGUGUCAUAUAGUUCAUCAUAAGUGGGUAUCUUUUCAGAAUUUUCAGAACAUGAACUACGAUAAGGAGAAUGUACCUCACUGGAUUAUUCUUUAUCGGAUAAGUUAUUGGAAUCCGGUGUGUGAGCUAUAAGACAUAGUUUGAUGGUCUCCUAUUUAUCAAAUGUGCUUGUUGUAGGAUCCUCCUCGAGAACGUCCCACACAAUGUAGGCCAUUUAAGACUUGAAUUCUCUUGAGGUGUUCUUCUCACCCUCAACCUUCUUGAGAGAGGUUGGAUAUUGGAAUUACAUGUGCCCAACUUUUCCAUACUCAUGGCAAGUGAAGCGGUCUUUGAGAGCCUUGCCUUUUCGGGUUGAGUCCUUAGCUUCUUUGCGUUAAAACCAGUUUGACCUCCUCUUUUCUUCAGGAAUUUGUUAAACUUUCUUACUAAGAGCAUCAUGGUAUCGUCGUCUAUUUCAGAAUCAGAAUCCUCAUCAAUGUUCCCUUCUUAAAUUUGUGAUGUUGACGCCUUGAGAGAAAUAUUUUUCUUGAAUUUGUCUUAUUCUUCAUGCAAGGUUAAGCGCCCUAACUCCAUUUCAUGUUCUUGGAUUUUCCGAACAUUGUAUCUAAUGGCAUCGAAUCAAGAUCAUUGGAGUCCAUGAUAUCGGUCACUUUUCGCUGCCAGUUCUUGUCAAGGCAUCUUAACACUUUAUUAGUGAGUUCACCUUUAGCAAAUGUCUUAUAUAGAGCAACUAGAUGAUUUAUGAUAUGAGUGAAACAUUUCUACAUGUCUCUUAUAGACUCGUUAGGAAACAUCCUAAACAACUCAUACUUGUGCGUCAAAGCAUUUAGAUGUGCCCGCUUAACUUCGCUCGUGCCUUCAUAGGUGACUUGUAAUAUGUUCUGCAUCUCCUUGGCACUAUAACAUUGAGAUGCCCUAAAGAACUCGUCAUAAGAGAGUGCUGAAGUGAUGAUAUUUUUUGCUUUUAAAUUGUGUUGAACUUUUCUUUUAUCAUCAUCAUUCCACAAGCUCUUCGCCUUUUCUUUGAUUUCUCCUUCCACCAAAUGUAGUGAAAUAUAUGGUCCAUUGACAACAGCCUCCCAAACAUCCGUGCCAAUGGCCUCGAUAAUGAUUCUCAUGUGAACCUUCCAUUAGGCAUACCCCUCACCACUGAAUAUCGGAGGACGAUUGAUGGAUGCACUAUCACCACCGAAAGGGUUGGUAGAACCUAUAGUGAUAUUUUCGUGGAUCAGCGAAGUUAGCGGCUAAGCUAGUACUGUCAUACUAGCUCUGAUACCACUUGUUGGGUAUAAUCAGAAUAUAAACACACCUAUAGGGGGUGGGUUGAAUAGGUGCAGCACAAUCAAAUUAUCACUUUUCUGGUAUUUACAAAGUUCUGAAAAACUACCAGUUUAAUCGAUUAACCAAGGUCUUAAUUAAUUAUGGACAAAUAUGUCUUAACCGAUUAACGAAUGUUUUAAUCGGUUAUCCUGACAGUUAGGUUUCUUGAAACCAGAAUAUUUUCAACAGAAAACUCGAACAAUUCAAUCGUUACAAGCGUAUACUACUUAAUCAGAUUAUGAACAAUUAAUCUAAAACAAUUAAGCAAUUCACAAAUCAAUGUGAAAUUUAAAGACUUAGAAUGUAAAAGAGAUAAGGGAAGAGCAACAAGAACAACAAAAGAAUUUCCUAGUUCGUUUGUGGGUCCACUUACAAACUACAUCUAGGCCUUCCGACGGAUCUUGGAGAUUUUUCUUCACUAAGAAAUGAAGUAAUAUUCAAUUACAAGCACACUUCCAAUUACACUUCCACACAUGCUUCCUUCUUAUAUCUAGAGUCAAGCUACCCGCUUUGACUUCCGACACGCCUCUUUUGGAUACUCCACACCUACUCGCUGUCUAGCCCUAGUCGAAUCUUGCUCUCAACUAAAACCUUUGUGAAAUGAUGAAGACUAUACAACCUAACCUCACCUAGGACAAUUUUUCUUCUAAACUCCUCAAAUUUGUUGUCUCAUCACUUUUUCAAGUUACAACCACCUAAAUGUGCCUAUAUGAACAAGUAACACUCAAUCUCAAACCUAAUCAGAAAAUCUCACAAGACCUAAUAGAAAAUGUGUAUUUAUGCAAGGUUUGUAUGAAAAGUAAUUGUACAAUUGAAUGCUCAAAAAUUACUUCUGAAUAAGCUUUUUCUUCUAAUCUUGAUUAUGCACAAGAAACACUUAAACUUUUGCAUAACACUAUUUUUCAGAUAAAAUCUUGAAUUUUUUGUAAUCUCUCUCAUAUUUCUUAUGGGUAAAAUUACAGCUUUUAUAAUAAACUGAAUUUAACUGAUCUAGAUCGAUUAUCAAUGCAUUUAAUUGAUUAAUGCUUGUUAAAAAUAACACGUUUUCUUCAAUAACCAUAUUUAACCGAUUAAGCUUCUGGUAUAAUCAAUUAGCGAGGUUAAGAGCUUCAAACCAGUAGCUAUUGUAAUUCAAUUAAUUGAUCCAUAAAAACACUUCAUCAAUUAACGUAUUAUAAAGACUACUUAAUUGAUUAAACUAUAUCUUUAAUCAAUUAAUCAAUGUUAACCGAAAGUUUAGAUUCCACUUAUGCUUGAUUAUAGACCAAAUUCCACUGGAUGUAUUUGAAUGCAUGCAAAAAUCAAGAGGUCUUUAAAUGGUUGUAAUGGGGUUAAGGUGAAUGAUUUAUGGUGAGAUAAACAAAGAAAGGGUACUUCAAAAGGCUUAUAAAUGUUUCUCAAAAUUCUUAAACUUUUUAGACAUCUGACUAAAGCAUUGUGAUUCUAUUAAUAAGCCUUAAUUUAUCAUAUGAUCUUUUUUCAAUCAAUCUUUCUUUUUACAAUACACUUUUUCAAUCCUUUCUCCUUUAGUAUAUUUUGUAUUAUUUUUUUCAUUUUUUUAUUCAUUCUCAUUAUUUUUUCUAAAAGAGAAAUGAUGAGUUUUUUCUUUUUCACAAUUUUAUGGUUUCUUUCACUACACAUGGCCUUUUUACAUUUCCCAUUGCUUCAACCAAACAUCCCAAAUUAUCCCAAACCCUCAUUUAAGUAGCUAUGAAAAAUCAUUAAAGUUCAAGUUCAAAAUUGGGCAACUAAUGGGUUGUCAAUGUUUAUAGCAAGCAGUUGAAGGUCAAAAGAAAACGUCUUCAUUUCCUCUAUCAUAUUAAUGCAUACAAACAUACUUUAAUCUUGAAACGGGUACAAAUCAAGUUAUAGAACGUACAAUCAUAAAAAAUUAUGCACUCAUAAAAGCAAAAAGGCUUUUUAUGCAAUUGUCAAUUUAAAUCAGAAAACCCUUAUUGUGUUUGACCUCAGUUUCUCACAUUUGGUUCAUUCAGAAAAAGUGAUGUAACAAUGACCUUUAUUUAACCAAAUUUAAUUCACAAUUGUCAAGUUCUAGAUAUAAAGCUCGUCUAGUUGCUCAAUGCUACACUUAGAAAGAAGACAUUGAUUAUUAAGAAACUUUCACUCUAGUAUCUUCGGAUGAUUCUUUUCGAAUAAUAUUGGCACUAGUAGCUCAUUUUGAUUUAGAGCUACAUCAGAUGGAUGUUAAAACUGUUUUUCCAAACGGUGAUAUUAAAGAAACGAUCUACAUGGUUGCAACCAAAAUACUUUGUGUCAAUUAGCUCAAGUUAAUGGUAUGCAAGUUAAUGGUAUGCAAAUUAAAGAAAUCCAUAUAUAGCCUUAAACAAGCUUCUCGUCAAUGAAAUCACAAGUUCCAUCAAGUUAUUACCUCGUAUGGUUUUUAGGCAAGAUAUAGGACUAUUGCAUGAGACCAAGAGAUUUCUAAUGAAGAAUUUCGAAAUGAAAGAUCUUGGGGCCGCUUCUUUUGUAUUAAGUAUUCAGAUACUAAGAGAUCCUCUCAAGGUAUCCUAAGGUUGUCACAAGAAAGAUAUAUAGAUAAAAUCAUAGAUAGAUUUGGCAUGAAAGAAAGUAAACCAUGAAAGAAAGAAAAUCAUGUUAAGAAUUUUGGAAAGGUGCAUAGAAAUGUAUUACACCAUACUUAAUGAGAAAGGAACUUCGUAUUUUUUAUGACUUCGCUAUUGUGUAACUAUCCAUUUAUUCAGCAUCUCAAUCAUUUCUAAAAAAGGAUGAUAAUAAAUCAACCUUGGCCAGAGUGUAGGAAAGGCUUUCUUACAAUGCUUCUAUUGUGAGAAAGGAACUUUGUGCUCUUAGUACUCGGUAAUCAUCCUGAUGUUCUGCAAUUUGAUUAUGAAAACGUUUUGUUAUUUAAUCAUCGUGAUAUUGAUAAAUCAUUUUUAACGGGUGUGAAGAAAAUGUUUUGUUAUGAUACUUUUAUUGUGGCCAUAGACCAUCAACCAUUACUUAUUAUCACUAUUCACUUUCCUUGUGAUUAAACUUUCUCUUGAUUUGCAUAUAGAGAUGGAAACAAGUCGAACUGGCUUGAACUAGAACUCAGCUCGAUAAGGAUAUGCUCAAUUUGAAACUCAACUCAAGUUUGAUAAGGGUUAUUUUUUAGCUCGGGUUCAACUCAUUUAAGUUCGCAAAUUGCUCAACUCAACUUGAAUUGGUUCAUUUAUAUAACUCAAUUAAUAAAUUUAUUUUUAAAAAAAAAUAUUACAUAAGGUUAAAUAUAUAUAUAUAUAUAUAUAAAACCUUGUUUAUAUAUAUAAUAACAAUAAAUAUAAAAAUUAGUUAUAUAUGUAUAUAACCUUGUAAUUAUAUUAAUCUCGUUUUAGUACUAACUUAAGUGAAGAAGAAAAUGAAGUAAGAGAAAAUGUUAGAUUAUUCAUAAAUGUUAGGGUUGUAAUUUGUUCACCAAGUGAGAAUCAUUAAAGAUAUAAUUUUGUUCAAUUUUAAGAUUUGUCUAUGAUGGAUGUUAAAGCCUAGGUUAUUUUUUAGAAGAAUUUUGAUUGCCUAAAUGUUGGGGUGUAAUCAUUUUGAGGCUGAAAUAAACAAAUGGAAAGUAAUUACACUAUAUAAUAUGAGAUGGGCAAGUCUCAUUUUUCAUGUUUUUCAAAGUUAUCAUCGAAAAGAUUAUAAAUGUAUCGAUACUAUUGUACAUUAUAUACUGACAAUGCUUUUUUUAAUUGGACUAUUCUUGAAAAAUAGACACCAUCUCGUGUACUUCUUCUUCUUAUUCUUAUAUUUAAAUGUAUAAAAUAUAAUUAGAUUUUGAUUUCUUCCAUCACAUAUUUCAUAAAACAAUUCAUAUCAACAUAAUUAUUUCUUAAAUUUUGUUGCAUAAAAAUAUUUUAAUUAAAAAAUCAAAUAAAAUGAAAUAAAAACUUUGGAUUAUAAUAUGGGAUAUUAACUAUGAUACUUCUAAAUAAGAAACUAAAAAAGCUCAAGGGCUUAGGAUCUGAGUUGUUGUCUUCGAUUCAUUUGGAGAAUUAAAAUAAUUUAGUUAAGAAGUGUGUGAAACUCUUAUUCUUUUAAGUGCGAAGUAAAUGCAAUAUCAAUGAAUUCAAUAGGUAUAAUAUAAUAUAUAUAAUUAUAUUAGUUAAAUUACAUAAGAACAUAUAGAUUGAUGAAGGGUAUUGCAUGUAAAACUUUCAAGGUAGAUUUUUUUAUUAAUAAUAAUACAUAGGUAAAACUCUAGUUUUAUUAAUAUCUCGUGGCUCACUAUGAGCUCUUACAUGAUAGUAGAUAGCAGCUUAGUAAAGAGUGAUCUAAAUGGAAAAGAUAAGACCCCUUCUUCCAUGCCUUCCCUCCUUCUCCCUUUGUUGUUGCUGCUGAGGUUGAGCAUUUGCAAAGUAAGAUUGUUGUUGGUUCUUAAUUAAUCUCUCAACAUCUUCAACAGAACCAGGGAAUGUAAGCUCCUUCACUUCUUUAUCUAACUGUCUUAUCAUAUUGUCUUCAGAACCUUUCAAUUUUCAAUAAUUUUCAAACAUAACAAUACGAGUUAGUAAUGCCAAAACCAAAGUCAUAAAGCAAAUAUUAUAAUUUACAAUUAGGUAUUUGUGCCAAAAGUUUACUUUGUUGCCACAUUGGCUUCGUCCAAAGAUAUAGUUGGUGAUUUAGCUAUCAAUUUUAUAACCGUGUAUCUACCUUUUAAACAGCAUGUUUAGGUUAAAUUAAAAUAUAUUUAAUUAUAAACUUUGAAGUUGAAUAAUGUUUAUGGUACUUGCAAGGAAAUUCCUCUGGUUUUCGUUAGCAUUGAUGCCAAAUCCAAGCAAGCGAAGAUUUGAGGAAGCGUUGAUGGAAAUUGGAUGACCUGCUGGAAUUACGAAAAUGUCACCUUCUGAUAAUUUAGCAUUGUACCUUCUCACUUCUUCCUGUUCUUGCUCAUCUUGUUGUCGUUCUUGAUCUCUUAUACCCACCAGUUCAUAAUUUCCUUCUCCUUUAUCAACCACGACUACAAAUAUGGCCUUUGAGUUAUAGUGUGGUAACAACAAACCUCCCUAACAUAAAAAAAUCAAAUCAUUAGUAAUAGUAUUGUUGUCUAAGACACAACACCGGUGAAUAAGUACAAGGAAUUGUGUGUAUUGUUAUUUGGGGUGGGAUGUAAAUAAUGUACCUCGUUAAUUUCUAUGAAGGUCAGAGAGAUAUCCAAAUCCUGAGCUUGAGGGUUUCUGUCCGGGGUGAUCUCAUAGAAGUUGCCAAACUUGUUUGAAUAAAUGGGUACAUUGCUUCUCAAGUUGAAGGGGCCAGAUUCAGAUGGUUUGCCUUUUCCUGAUGAUGAUUGAGCAUGUUUUCUCAAUUCUUGGAUCUGUUCCUUUGACACUCUCACUAUCACCCCCUCAUCUUGGUGGCUCUGCUCUUGUCCAUGCCAUUGCUCGUCAUCUUCCUGCUCGUCCUAAUUUCCUAAAAGAAUAUUUUGUAUCUCUUCAUAACGGGUCUAUAUUUGAAAUCCAAACAAACAAAUAUGUGAUCAUUAGUACAUAUACUCAAUAAAUAAUUGUGCAACCAACGCAGAUCAGAUGUCAUACAUUGAAGGUGGCCUCUAAAGUGUUCCUACUGAAGCCGUUGAAGUAAGACUGUUGGUCUUUAGUACUUGAUGGAUAGAAAUCCUAUAAAUAUACAAAUAUAGAGAGAAAGGAGGAAGAAAUUAAAAUUAUAUGGUGUUAAAUAUGCAAUGAGUGCAUAGAAAAUUAGAUGAUAUAAACAUAAAAGAUAAUAUGAUUGGAGAAAGAACAUUACAUAGAAGUUGCCAGGGUUGUUGAUGGGUAUUGCGAGCUUGACUACUCUAAGGUUCUGGUUGUCAUCCAAGUUAAGGAUAUAAGAAGUUGUUCCAGCUGGGAGUCUAAGAGCAUCGCCAUACUCAAGGUUAUAUGCUUGUCUUUUAUCAGGGUUGACUAUCAUGAUUGUGGCUCUACCUACAAUCCCAAAAUAAUGAAUGUAACAAAUCAUUCAUUCUCAUUAAUUAAUUGGUAGAAAUGAAUACUACUAGUAGUAAGUAAGGUUUUAAAUUUAGGUUAGCGACCUCAAUUUAAAUCCUUGAUAAUAGUUACCAUUGAGUACAACGAGGAUGUAGUCAGCAUCAGAGUGUUUAGGGAGAAUGAGAGUGUUAGGUUUUGAUUGGAACUCCACAAUGCGGUAGUUUUGGAGAUUCUCAAGUCUAUUGGUUCUCUGGUCAAACCUCUCAAGCACACGGAUUUGGCCAUUCCUAUUUCUGUAAAGAGUUUGGAAUCUUUCAGAGCUGAAGUAAUAAGGGUUCCUCUGUCUGCGUGAGUCUGAGCGCUUGCUCUCUCUCUUCCCUUUGUUCCCUCCUCUCAUAACCACUUUGCCUACCUGAGCUUGAGCUAGAUCCUUGCUCUUGCUCUCUCUCUUCCCUUCUACUUUGAGGUCGUUGUCUCCUCGGUUGCCACUCUUCUUCCUCCUCUCUCCUUCCAUGUUGAGGUUGUUGUUCUUGCUCCCUCCCUCUACUAGGUUCUCUCCUUUGUUCACGCUCUUCCUCUCGGCUUUCUUCGCUCUCGCUCCUACCACGUGAUGGCUCACGAUUACGUUCCUCCUCUCUCCUAUGCUCUC